This 1141-nucleotide ribosomal RNA is filed under the name Photinella sp. MN498. RNAcentral's name for it is "SSU rRNA". It matches the Rfam family "Eukaryotic small subunit ribosomal RNA", at positions 82 to 1155 of the family's 1831-position model. Lineage: Eukaryota; Metazoa; Arthropoda; Insecta; Mantodea; Mantidae. The record is from RNAcentral.
UGAAACCGCGAUGGCUCAUUAAAUCAGUUAUGGUUCCUUAGAUGGUGCACAGUUACUUGGAUAACUGUGGUAAUUCUAGAGCUAAUACAUGCAACUCGGUCCCGACCGGCGACGGAAGGGACGCUUUUAUUAGAUCAAAACCAAUCGGUCUUCGGGCCGUUUGCCUUGGUGACUCUGAAUAAAUUGUGGCAGAUCGCACGGCCCCCGAGCCGGCGACGCAUCUUUCAAAUGUCUGCCUUAUCAACUGUCGAUGGUAGGUUCUGCGCCUACCAUGGUUGUAACGGGUAACGGGGAAUCAGGGUUCGAUUCCGGAGAGGGAGCCUGAGAAACGGCUACCACAUCCAAGGAAGGCAGCAGGCGCGCAAAUUACCCACUCCCGGCACGGGGAGGUAGUGACGAAAAAUAACGAUACGGGACUCAUCCGAGGCCCCGUAAUCGGAAUGAGUACACUUUAAAUCCUUUAACGAGUAUCCAUUGGAGGGCAAGUCUGGUGCCAGCAGCCGCGGUAAUUCCAGCUCCAAUAGCGUAUAUUAAAGUUGUUGCGGUUAAAAAGCUCGUAGUCGGACUUGUGUCCCACGCUGCCGGUUCACCGCCCGUCGGUGUCUAACUGGCAUGCACGUGCGGACGUCCUGCCGGUGGCCCGAGCCGGCGCGGGUCUCGCACCCGUCGUCCGGGGAAGGCCUAUCAUACCCGUCGCGGUGCUCUUAACCGAGUGUCUCGAUGGGCCGGCACGUUUACUUUGAACAAAUUAGAGUGCUUAAAGCAGGCAGCAUCCGCCUGAAUACCGAGUGCAUGGAAUAAUGGAAUAGGACCUCGGUUCUAUUUUGUUGGUUUUCGGAAUCCCCGAGGUAAUGAUCAAUAGGGACAGACGGGGGCAUUCGUAUUGCGACGUUGAAGGUGAAAUUCUUGGAUCGUCACAGGACGGACCGAAGCGAAAGCAUUUGCCAAGAAUGUUUUCUCUGAUCAAGAACGAAAGUUAGAGGUUCCAAGGCGAUCAGAUACCGCCCUAGUUCUAACCAUACACAAUGCCAGCCAGCAAUCCGCCAAAUUUCCUCCCAUGACUCCGCGGGCGGCUUCCGGGAAACCAAGCCUUUUGGGUUCCGGGGGAAGUAUGGUUGCAAAGCUGAAACUUGCCGAAUUC